GAUGAACGCUGGCGGCGUGCCUAAUACAUGCAAGUCGAGCGAACAGACGAGGAGCUUGCUCCUCUGACGUUAGCGGCGGACGGGUGAGUAACACGUGGAUAACCUACCUAUAAGACUGGGAUAACUUCGGGAAACCGGAGCUAAUACCGGAUAACAUGUUGAACCGCAUGGUUCAACAGUGAAAGACGGUCUUGCUGUCAUUUAUAGAUGGAUCCGCGCCGCAUUAGCUAGUUGGUAAGGUAACGGCUUACCAAGGCAACGAUGCGUAGCCGACCUGAGAGGGUGAUCGGCCACACUGGAACUGAGACACGGUCCAGACUCCUACGGGAGGCAGCAGUAGGGAAUCUUCCGCAAUGGGCGAAAGCCUGACGGAGCAACGCCGCGUGAGUGAAGAAGGUCUUCGGAUCGUAAAACUCUGUUAUUAGGGAAGAACAAAUGUGUAAGUAACUAUGCACGUCUUGACGGUACCUAAUCAGAAAGCCACGGCUAACUACGUG
RNAcentral lists this ribosomal RNA (497 nucleotides) under uncultured bacterium. RNAcentral's name for it is "partial 16S ribosomal RNA". It matches the Rfam family "Bacterial small subunit ribosomal RNA", at positions 28 to 507 of the family's 1533-position model. The record is from RNAcentral.